GUCAUUGUAGCAAUACAAGGCAAACGGCUCAUUAACGCGUAGUCAACCUACCCUAUGGACGGGAAUAACCUCGGGAAACUGAGUAUAAUGCCCGAUAGAACACUAUACCUGGAAUGGUUUGUGUUUCAAACGAUUUAUUGCCGUAGGAUGGGACUGCGGCCUAUCAGUUUGUUGGUGAGGUAAUGGCCCACCAAGACUAUUACAGGUACGGGCUCUGAGAGGAGUGGCCCGGAGAUGGGUACUGAGACACGGACCCAGGCCCUAUGGGGCGCAGCAGGCGAGAAAACUUUGCAAUGUGCGAAAGCACGACAAGGUUAAUCCGAGUGGUUUCUGCUAAAGGAACCUUUUGACAGUCCUAUAAACACUGUUGAAUAAGGGGUGGGCAAGUUCUGGUGUCAGCCGCCGCGGUAAAACCAGCACCUCAAGUGGUCAUGAUGAUUAUUGGGCCUAAAGCAUCCGUAGCCAUUUCAGUAAGUUUUCGGUUAAAUCUGUACGCUUAACGUACAGGCUGCCGGGAAUACUGCAUAGCUAGGGAGUGGGAGAGGUAGACGGUACUCGGGAGGAAGUGGUAAAAUGCUUUGAUCUUUCAAUGACCACUUGUGACGAAGGCAGUCUACCAUAACACUUCCGACGGUGAGGGAUGAAAGCUGGGGGAGCAAACCGGAUUAUAUACCCGGGUAGUUCCAGCUGUAAACUAUGCAAACUCAUUGAUGCAUUGGC
This 720-nucleotide ribosomal RNA is filed under the name uncultured archaeon. Its description in RNAcentral is "bacterial SSU rRNA". It matches the Rfam family "Archaeal small subunit ribosomal RNA", at positions 57 to 783 of the family's 1478-position model. The record is from RNAcentral.